Molecule: transfer RNA, 74 nt
Filed under: Marmota monax (woodchuck)
Lineage: Eukaryota; Metazoa; Chordata; Mammalia; Rodentia; Sciuridae
Description: tRNA.Ala
Source: RNAcentral
GUGGGGCUGUGGCUCCAGUGGUAGUGCACUCACCUAGCAUGCGUGAGGCACUGGGUUCAAUUCUCAGCACCACA